RNAcentral lists this transfer RNA (73 nucleotides) under Ovis aries (sheep). It matches the Rfam family "tRNA". Rfam says of the family: Transfer RNA (tRNA) molecules are approximately 80 nucleotides in length. Their secondary structure includes four short double-helical elements and three loops (D, anti-codon, and T loops). The record is from Rfam by way of RNAcentral. Lineage: Eukaryota; Metazoa; Chordata; Mammalia; Artiodactyla; Bovidae.
UCCCUGGUGGUCCGGUGGCUAAUACUCUGCAUUCCCAAAGCAGGGGGCCCAGGUUCGAUCCCUGACUGGGGAA